RNAcentral lists this ribosomal RNA (1116 nucleotides) under Triticum aestivum (bread wheat). RNAcentral's name for it is "partial small subunit ribosomal RNA". Lineage: Eukaryota; Viridiplantae; Streptophyta; Magnoliopsida; Poales; Poaceae. The record is from RNAcentral.
AUGUCUUCCUCCUCCGGCGCAUCCCAAACCAGCCUCAAUCGCCAGGUUACCGAGAAGCUGACGCGCACAAACUAUGUGCUAUGGCACACGCAAGUCAUCCCCCAGCUGCGUGGCGCCGGUGUCUACGGCUACGUCGACGGCACCCAGCCGGAGCCGGCAAAACUCCUCGUCACCACCAAGGACGGCAAGGAGGUCUCAUCAUCGCCCAACCCUCUCCACCCAAUCUGGGUCAGGGAGGAUCAGCAGGUCCUUGGAUAUCUGCUGAAUAACCUGACGCGUGAGGUGCUGCUCACGGUGACCACGGUCACCACUGCGGGCGCGCUCUGGACGACGCUCGCUGGGAUGUUCUCGUCCCAGUCUGCCAGCCGCAUCAACAACAUCCGAACAUCCCUCAUCAACGCGCAGAAGGGGAACCUCUCCGUCGCCUCCUACUUCGCCGCCAUGCGUGGCUACGCCGACGAGCUAGCUGCCGCAGGCAAGGCGAUCCCCGACGACGAACUUGCCUCCUACAUCAUCCACGGGCUCGACGCCGACUAUCAGCCUCUGGUCUCUGCCCUCGACGCUCGCGUGACCGGGGUAACCCUUGAUGAACUCUUUGCCAUGUUAUCCAACUUCGAUCAGCGCAUGGCUCAAUUCCAGGGGGCCGGCAGCGGCGGCUUCAAAUCAUCCGCGAACGCGGCCACUCGCGGGCGGGGCGGCGGCUCUCGCUCGCGUGGGCCCUCUCGCAACAAGGGCAGGUCCAGCGGCGGCGGCAACCGCGGCGCCACGCCACCACGAUCUGGUGGCCGAGGUCGCCGCGGACGCGGCGCUGGUGGCGGCGGCAGGAACCGUCCGGACACCCCUCGGUGCCAGAUCUGCGGCAAAGUCGGGCACACAGCAAAGGAUUGCUGGUACAGGUAUGAGGAGGACGACUACGACUCUCAAGAUGAAGAAAAAGUCGCUGCGGCGGCCGAUGGCUCAUAUGGUGUCGACACGAACUGGUACGUCGACAGUGGUGCUACCAACCACAUCACCAACGAGCUCGAGAAAGUAACCAUGAAAGAGAAGUAUCGUGGCAAGGAUCAAAUCCACACUGCCAGUGGAGAAGGCAACGAGGACAAUUCUCUAUCAAGGUAG